GGUUGCAUAGUGUAGUGGUUAUCACUCCAGAUUUUGACUCUAUGUUCAAAAGUUUUCUGGUAACCCCGGUUCGAACCCGGGUGCGACCU
Molecule: transfer RNA, 89 nt
Rfam family: tRNA
About the family: Transfer RNA (tRNA) molecules are approximately 80 nucleotides in length. Their secondary structure includes four short double-helical elements and three loops (D, anti-codon, and T loops).
Source: Rfam